RNAcentral lists this long non-coding RNA (1637 nucleotides) under Nicotiana tabacum (common tobacco). Its description in RNAcentral is "long non-coding RNA (NTAB_LNC007195)". Lineage: Eukaryota; Viridiplantae; Streptophyta; Magnoliopsida; Solanales; Solanaceae. The record is from RNAcentral.
AGAAAUACGUACUAGUUCAAACGCAUUAAAUAUUACUAAAUAUAAAAUAAUUAUCCAACUAAAACCAUAAUUUAUUUAUAAAUUAUGAUGAGCCCUCAAAUAAUAAAUCUCUAACCCAAAUUCCAUACUAAGACAGUGCAACAUCUAAAUAGAGUAAUAGAAGUCAAACCGACGGGCAUGCAAACCCGAAAGAAAUAAUAAACAUAAGAUAGGUAGAACUGAAACAGUGGCCUCCAUGAAUGAUGUGGCGGCUCACCUCAGCAAUGGAAUCCACUCAACGAACUUGUUAGCCACUAGUCUCGUCCUCGUCAACAGUAUCUGCAUGGACAUGCAAGUAAGGAGUGAGUUAUACGUAAAUAUAACUCAAUAAGAUUCUCGACCCGCCACUCUGAAUACCUAUGGAAUAAGUGUUCGAAAAUACAAACACUCAACGAGCACAUAAAUAAUAUGCCCAAAAAUUCUUUCACUAUAUAAUAACUCUAUAAGGCCCAAACAAUUAUUCAACAACAAUACCAUAUAUCUCAGCACAAUCUAUACUAAGGACUUGUCAUAAACGACAAUGAAAAAAAUUAACCAUACACCCCAACGAGUCCACGACAACAUACACAAUGCCUCAAAUCUAUCACGGCGGCAUACACAAUACCCUAAAUAUAUUACGGUAGCGAAGAAAUAAUUUCUAACGCCCCAACGGCAUAGCACGAGGCUAUGCCACAUCACACCACACAACAAAUCACUUAUAAAUAUUUUUAAAUUUUUUUACAAAAUAAUAUAUAUUUGUGGCUGGUCAAAGACCACCGAUUCUGUCGAGCGCACGCUAGUCCCAACACAUAGACCUGUCAGACAAAACAUACUUUCAAAAUGGGUUUUGAAAAGGCAAACACCAAAGCUUAAAGUCUCACUUUCCCAACCUUGCAACAUCCAGAACACCAAGCAAACAACCUCCAAUCUCCUCAAUCUAUCUAAAAUAUUAAAUAACACGUCCUAAUUAAGCUAGGUGAAUAAUUUUCAUAAUCUUAGGACGAGUCAAAAUUAAAGUUAACCCUAGUCUAAUUAAUAAAAUAUGUACACAAUUCGUUAAACGCAGAACGUGAAAGAGAAUACCGAAAAAGAGUUGGCUGCAGAAUGCAUUCUGAUGCUUAAUCCACCUAACUCAUUAUAAUUAUUCUAAUCAUUGUCAACCAUUGAAUCAUAAUUACUCUAGCCUCUCAUUAUUAAAUAAUUAUUGGCUAAUCAUUAGUAUUCUAAUUUUUUAAAAGAAGCAAAAGUAUAAAUCGAAAGUUGAAUUUCUGAUGCAAGUUACUGCCAUCCUAAUAUUAUUGGCUAAUCAUAAUAAUAAUCAUUAGUUUAUUAUGAUGCCAUUAUUUUUUUAAAAAAAUAUCUCUACAAGGUAUGUAUAUAUAAUACUCAAAAGUGUGAGCUAACAAAUCAAAGUAAAUCUCCACACCUGAGCUAUUAAACCUUCACAGUGCUUGUUUCAAUUACUUCCCUCAAUCCCGCCGUCCAACCCCCCUGAAGCUCUCCUCUGUGUUUCCCUUAUAUAUGCUUCAGGAACAAAGGGAUCAAUUUCCCUAGGUCUUAAAACGUGGCAGCUACAAAAGAUUGGGCUUGGCCCACUUACUGUAUCCCUUUAAUGAAAA